UACGAAGGGGGCUAGCGUUGCUCGGAAUUACUGGGCGUAAAGGGCGCGUAGGCGGCUAGAUGUGUCAAAGGUGAAAUCCCUCGGCUCAACUGAGGAACUGCCUUUGAAACUGUCUGGCUUGAGGCCGGGGGAGGGUAGCGGAAUUCCCAGUGUAGCGGUGAAAUGCGUAGAUAUUGGGAGGAACACCAGUGGCGAAGGCGGCUACCUGGACCGGUUCUGACGCUGAGGCGCGAAAGCGUGGGUAGCAAACAGG
This 253-nucleotide ribosomal RNA is filed under the name uncultured bacterium. RNAcentral describes it as "partial 16S ribosomal RNA". It matches the Rfam family "Bacterial small subunit ribosomal RNA", at positions 524 to 776 of the family's 1533-position model. The record is from RNAcentral.